RNA transcript from Carica papaya (papaya), 1410 nucleotides. It is a transcript of the gene named D-ribulose-5-phosphate-3-epimerase, with no coding region annotated. Lineage: Eukaryota; Viridiplantae; Streptophyta; Magnoliopsida; Brassicales; Caricaceae. The record is from RefSeq and is a predicted model, not a curated record.
ACCAUUGCAGAUAAGCAUACCACACCCACACCCACAACCACAGAAAAGACUUGACGCGUGUCUCCCACACGUAUUUUCUCGGAAAUUUGUCUAAAUUUUCUUCCUGAGCGGAAACAUUGAUUGGUUGGGGAAGACGAAGAUAGGAGGAGACGAAGCAAAAUACCAAACAAAUCUUCUGUCCCUAGUAACGAUUAUUGCUCUAGAGAGAGUAUUUUUUAGCCUGAAAUGUCAACAGCUUCUUUGUGUUCAUCCACUCAGAUCAAUGGCUUCGGCGGAGGUCUUAGGCUGCAAAAGACCAAUCUCUAUCAACCCGCUUCCUUCACUUUUACGAGGAGGAAAAUUCACUCUGUAGUAAAGGCAACUUCUCGUGUAGAUAAGUUCUCAAAAAAUGAUAUCAUAGUCUCUCCAUCAAUACUCUCUGCUAAUUUCGCAAAGUUGGGGGAGCAGGUAAAAGCAGUAGAGUUGGCUGGUUGUGAUUGGAUUCAUGUUGAUGUAAUGGAUGGCCGUUUUGUUCCAAACAUUACUAUUGGGCCUCUUGUAGUUGAUGCCUUGAGGCCGGUCACCAAUCUUCCUUUGGAUGUGCAUCUGAUGAUUGUUGAACCUGAACAGCGAGUUCCAGAUUUUAUCAAGGCCGGAGCUGACAUAGUCAGUGUCCACUGUGAGCAGUCAGCCACCAUCCAUUUGCAUCGCACACUUAAUCAAAUAAAAAGCUUAGGAGCUAAGGCUGGAGUCGUGCUAAACCCUGCUACGCCCCUCACUACGAUUGAGUAUGUCCUUGAUGUGGUUGAUCUUGUCUUGAUAAUGUCGGUCAAUCCUGGUUUUGGCGGGCAAGGCUUUAUUGAGAGUCAAGUAAAGAAAAUCUCAGACUUGAGAAGAAUGUGCGUAGAGAAGGGGGUAAACCCGUGGAUUGAAGUGGAUGGUGGAGUUGGUCCCAGCAAUGCUUAUAAGGUGAUUGAUGCUGGAGCAAAUGCUCUUGUAGCCGGAUCAGCUGUCUUUGGAGCUAAAGAUUAUGCAGAAGCUAUAAGAGGAAUCAAAACCAGCAAAAAGCCAGAAGCAGUUGCCGUGUGAUAGCUGAUCAUCGAAUUUGAUUCUAUCCUGUUUUAAACCUUGGCCUUGCUGAGACAUAUUUGAGCUUCUGUUGUAUUUUUGUCUUUAUAUCUGCAGAUUGUAAGAGCCACCAUAUUUCCUCCUUCAUGUUGUAGAUGUACGCAACACUUUAUCAGUUCUCUUUAUUGUUCAAAGAUGGAACAAUAAGAAUAUAUAUAUAUAUAUAUAUAUAUAUAUUUAAAAAAAAAACAGUAAAAAGCAAAUUCAGGGUAAAGAAAGCCUCUUUGCAGGCAUCGUUUCAUGUAUGGAGACUACUUUUACAGGGAUCCAGAUUAUCAAACAUGUAUCAGCAUUCUGUCAAAA